UUUGCCAAGAUCUGUCCGCAGAUCACGGGACUAUAGGGAGACCGCUGGCGCGAAGUCAGANGGAAGGCGAGGGCAACGGUAGGUCAGUAUGCUCCGAAUGCUAUGGGCUACACGCGCAAUACAAAGGACGGGACAAUGGGCUGCAACUCCGAGAGGAAUGACGCUAUCCCGAAACCCGUUCGUAGUUCGGAUUGAGGGCUGUAACUCGCCCUCAUGAAGCUGGAUUAGGUAGUAAUCGCGUCUCAAAAAGGCGCGGUGAAUAUGCCCCUGCUCCUUGCACACACCGCCCGUCAAACCAUCUUAGUUGUGGGUGGGUGAGGCUGCCUCUCUUUCGAGAUGUGGUAUUCGAGCCUGCCUUCGACAAGGAGGGUUAAGUCGUAACAAGGUAACC
This 391-nucleotide ribosomal RNA is filed under the name uncultured archaeon. Its description in RNAcentral is "bacterial SSU rRNA". It matches the Rfam family "Archaeal small subunit ribosomal RNA", at positions 1063 to 1448 of the family's 1478-position model. The record is from RNAcentral.